Molecule: non-coding RNA, 45 nt
Filed under: Schistosoma margrebowiei
Lineage: Eukaryota; Metazoa; Platyhelminthes; Trematoda; Strigeidida; Schistosomatidae
Source: RNAcentral
ACCUUGCUGACAAGUUCCAAAUAGUACGAAACCCUGGUCCAGGGU